This 274-nucleotide ribosomal RNA is filed under the name uncultured bacterium. RNAcentral describes it as "partial 16S ribosomal RNA". It matches the Rfam family "Bacterial small subunit ribosomal RNA", at positions 523 to 796 of the family's 1533-position model. The record is from RNAcentral.
AUACGGAGGGUGUAAGCGUUAUUCGGAAUCACUGGGCGUAAAGGACGCGUAGGCGGGUUGGCAAGUCAGAUGUGAAAUCCUACAGCUUAACUGUAGAACUGCAUUUGAAACUGCUAACCUAGAGUAUGGGAGGGGGAGAUGGAAUUAGUGGUGUAGGGGUAAAAUCCGUAGAUAUCACUAGGAAUACCGAAAGCGAAGGCGAUCUCCUGGAACAUAACUGACGCUAAGGCGUGAAAGCGUGGGGAGCAAACAGGAUUAGAAACCCCAGUAGUCC